CGCGAAAGGGGGGCAACCCCUGAGUAGAGUGGCGAACGGGUGAGUAAUACAUCGGAACGUGUCCAGUAGCGGGGGAUAACCUCUCGAAAGAGAGGCUAAUACCGCAUACGACCUACGGGUGAAAGAGGGGGAUCGCAAGACCUCUCACUAUUGGAGCGGCCGAUGUCGGAUUAGCUGGCUGGUGGGGUAACGGCCCACCAAGGCGACGAUCCGUAGCUGGUCUGAGAGGACGACCAGCCACACUGGAACUGAGACACGGUCCAGACUCCUACGGGAGGCAGCAGUGGGGAAUUUUGGACAAUGGGCGAAAGCCUGAUCCAGCCAUGCCGCGUGAGUGUAGAAGGCCCUCGGGUUGUAAAGCUCUUUCGGCGGGGACGAAAAGGUCCGUGCGAACACCACGGAUCCAUGACGGUACCCGCAGAAGAAGCACCGGCUGACUACGUGCCAGCAGCCGCGGUAAUACGUAGGGUGCAGGCGCUAAUCGGAAUUACUGGGCGUAAAGCGUGCGCAGGCGGUCUAUUAAGACAGGUGUGAAAUCCCCGGGCUUAACCUGGGAACUGCGCUUGUAACUGAUAGGCUGGAGUGUGGCAGAGGGGGGUGGAAUUCCACGUGUAGCAGUGAAAUGCGUAGAGAUGUGGAGGAACACCGAUGGCGAAGGCAGCCCCCUGGGCUAACACUGACGCUCAUGCACGAAAGCGUGGGGAGCAAACAGGAUUAGAUACCCUGGUAGUCCACGCCCUAAACUAUGUCAACUGGUUGUCGGGGAAGCAAUUCCUUGGUAACGAAGCUAACGCGUGAAGUUGACCGCCUGGGGAGUACGGCCGCAAGGUUAAAACUCAAAGGAAUUGACGGGGACCCGCACAAGCGGUGGAUUAUGUGGAUUAAUUCGAUGCACGCGAAAAACCUUACCUACCCUUGACAUGCCAGGAACCCUCCAGAGAUGGAGGGUGCCCGAAAGGGAGC
This 963-nucleotide ribosomal RNA is filed under the name uncultured bacterium. Its description in RNAcentral is "bacterial SSU rRNA". It matches the Rfam family "Bacterial small subunit ribosomal RNA", at positions 67 to 1028 of the family's 1533-position model. The record is from RNAcentral.